CAGUAGCCGCGGUAAUACGAAGGGGGUUAGCGUUGCUCGGAAUGACUGGGCGUAAAGGGCGCGUAGGCGGAUUGUUUAGUUAGGCGUGAAAUUCCUGGGCUUAACCUGGGGACUGCGUUUAAUACAGGCAGUCUAGAGUGAGGAAGAGGGUUGUGGAAUUCCCAGUGUAGAGGUGAAAUUCGUAGAUAUUGGGAAGAACACCGGUGGCGAAGGCGGCAACCUGGUCCUUGACUGACGCUGAGGCGCGAAAGCGUGGGGAGCAAACAGGAUUAGAUACCCCCGUAGUCCCUGUCUCUUAUAC
This 301-nucleotide ribosomal RNA is filed under the name uncultured bacterium. Its description in RNAcentral is "partial 16S ribosomal RNA". It matches the Rfam family "Bacterial small subunit ribosomal RNA", at positions 509 to 807 of the family's 1533-position model. The record is from RNAcentral.